RNAcentral lists this unclassified non-coding RNA (288 nucleotides) under Hevea brasiliensis (rubber tree). The record is from RNAcentral. Lineage: Eukaryota; Viridiplantae; Streptophyta; Magnoliopsida; Malpighiales; Euphorbiaceae.
GUAAAGGUCAAGUAUGGAUAAACGGUCGAAGUAUAGGAAGGCACUGGCCUGGAUACACAGCUCGUGGGAAUUGUGGAGAUUGUGAUUAUGCUGGAACCUAUACUGAUAAAAAAUGUAAAAGUAAAUGCGGACAGCCCUCUCAACAAUGGUGGGACUUUCACUAGUUGGUGUUGCUACCUUAUGAUUAUCACCACAUUUUGAAUAAUUGUUGAUGACGAUAUUAAUCUCAGGUACCAUGUUCCUCGCUCAUGGUUGUUCCCCAAGGGGAAUCUAUUAGUUGUGUUUGAA